UACGUAGGGGGCAAGCGUUAUCCGGAAUCACUGGGCGUAAAGGGUGCGUAGGCGGCUGAUCAAGCCAGGGGUGAAAGGCAAUAGCUUAACUAUUGUAAGCCUUUGGAACUGGUCAGCUUGAGUGCAGGAGAGGAAAGCGGAAUUCCUAGUGUAGCGGUGAAAUGCGUAGAUAUUAGGAGGAACACCCGUGGCGAAGGCGGCUUUCUGGACUGUAACUGACGCUGAGGCACGAAAGCGUGGGGAGCAAACAGGAUUAGAUACCCUGGUAGUCCACGCUGUAAACGAUGAAUACUAGGUGUCGGGGGUCAAAGCCCGGUGCCGCAGCUAACGCAUUAAGUAUUCCGCCUGGGGAGUACGGUCGCAAGACUGAA
Molecule: ribosomal RNA, 371 nt
Filed under: uncultured bacterium
Lineage: Bacteria
Description: bacterial SSU rRNA
Rfam family: Bacterial small subunit ribosomal RNA
Source: RNAcentral